Molecule: long non-coding RNA, 1198 nt
Filed under: Sinocyclocheilus anshuiensis
Lineage: Eukaryota; Metazoa; Chordata; Actinopteri; Cypriniformes; Cyprinidae
Description: lncRNA (ENSSANG00000012586.1)
Source: RNAcentral
GUUAUCCUCUGUUACUACCCGUCCAGCUGACCCUCUUCAAGCCCACCUUGCCUACUCCCUGGGAGGGUCCAUCCUGCUACAUGUCGACCCCGAGCAGAGCGAGAUGGCGUUUCUUCUGAAUCUACCCAUCAUUGAAUCCGACAACAUUUACAGACUCAAAGACAUUGUCAAUGUUGGAUUUUGGCAAGGAAACACUCACAUCAGAAUACACACACCAGAUAUGGUAGCCUACCACGACAAUAACCCACAGUUAUACCUGGCCCCAAACCUGCGUAUGUGUACCCUGACCAAAGACAUUCAUUAUCUCUGCCCCAGCAAGCCCUUCCUUCGAGACAACACUGAAGGAAUCUGCGGGUUACAACCCAUGCAAAGAGAGACACUCUGCCCCGCUGAGGCCAAGCCUCGCACACAAGUCACAGAAACGCAAGCAGAGAUUGUGGGAAAUCAGUGGCUCGUCAACACGCCCAUCCGUACCACCACACUGACCUAUGUCCAGCAUGACACUGCCACCCGUGUCAGCCUGCCCAACCAGAGUAUGUGGAUUCAAGUGCCCAAAGGUGCCAUCCUCCACCUCGGUGACCUGGCGCUGUACCACCUUCCAAGUGAAGAGUACCAAUCCGAGGUAGAAAUGCCAGCCUUCUUCAGGGACCACAACCUCACCCUGGAACCUGAAUUGGAACUGAGCAUUGAGAAAGGGGGCUCCAAGACGAUUGACAUCACCCCAAUCGACACAGCCCUCCAAGCACUGUCUCGGAUGCCUGUCCAGAACACCUUUCCCGUCGCUCGAUCCUGGACCUCUGCCGACACGGCACUUUGCCUUGCCACAGCAAUCGGGUACACCCUAACCCUCGGCCUUGCCUUUGUCCUGUUUAACAGAGUCAACGGGGUGCAAAGGUCCAUGAACAGGUGCACAGCUGCCCUUCCUCGAACCUUCAAACGGAGCCACCGGAAAAGAGGGACCCAGGCGGAGACAAUGCUGAACCUGACCAAGGUUAACACCCCCGCUGAGGAUCCGAAGGCUGAGGAAAAUUAGGAUCCACCUGCCAUCUGACAAUCCUGAUCCACCUGCCAUCUGACAAUCCUGAUCCACCUGCCAUCUGAAAAUUAGGAUCCACCUGCCAUCCGGCCUUCAGGAUCCACCUGCCAUCUAGCCAUUAUGAUCCACCUGCUACCCGAUCAUCAUGAUCCACCUGCUGUC